This 673-nucleotide long non-coding RNA is filed under the name Mustela putorius furo (domestic ferret). RNAcentral's name for it is "lncRNA (ENSMPUG00000031493.1)". Lineage: Eukaryota; Metazoa; Chordata; Mammalia; Carnivora; Mustelidae. The record is from RNAcentral.
UGUCUCAAUUCAUCUUGAAGAUCUCUCUCUCAGCAGAGUAUGAAAGCUUUUUUUCAUUCCUAAAAUCUGUACCUCCACCCCUUUCGCUCUGACAGGUAAGGACACCGAGGCACAGAGACUGCUGUCUGCCCGCUGAGCCCCGCGCGGGGAGGUCCAGAGACCGCAGCUCCCGCCCGGGACUCCUCGCAUUAACCACAGAUGGACCGAGAGUCCAGGGCCCAGCAAGAUGACGGGCCGGGUCCCACGCAUGCCGCCUUCCGCUGUACCUCAGGCAGAGGGCCAGAGCCUCCCGGGGACCCCCUCCAGACCUCAUCCAGACCACAGGCCCCAGAAAGGUGGCUAGAAAAGGCUUAGGCUACCGUCAGCCCCCUGCAUCUCCCCCUGCACAGGCCAGAGGCUGGGCGAGUACGUGCACAGAGAUGGCCUUCCCCAUAGCCUCCCCAUGCUCUGGGGCCUCAGACAGCUUCCCCCCCGCCAGCACAGACCUCUCCCCAGACGUCCGGGAUCCUGCAAUGAGCAAAGCCGAUACACCCUUUUCUUUUCUAUGGAUACCCAUUCAUUUUAUAAUUUUCAAGUCUCAGUGUAUUAUUUUUUUAAUUUGCCAGAGAAGCGAUGAAAUUAUAUGACUCUUCUGCCUACCUUGCAUUCUCUUGUUUCUCGGGGCAUCUGAUCU